Molecule: ribosomal RNA, 515 nt
Filed under: fungal sp. CS9E2
Lineage: Eukaryota; Fungi
Description: eukaryotic LSU rRNA
Rfam family: 5.8S ribosomal RNA (bases 161-314)
Source: RNAcentral
GGAUCAUUUACCGAGUUUACAACUUCCCCAAACCCCUGUGAACAUACCACUUGUUGCCUCGGCGGAUCAGCCCGCUCCCGGUAAAACGGGACGGCCCGCCAGAGGACCCCUAAACUCUGUUUCUAUAUGUAACUUCUGAGUAAAACCAUAAAUAAAUCAAAACUUUCAACAACGGAUCUCUUGGUUCUGGCAUCGAUGAAGAACGCAGCAAAAUGCGAUAAGUAAUGUGAAUUGCAGAAUUCAGUGAAUCAUCGAAUCUUUGAACGCACAUUGCGCCCGCCAGUAUUCUGGCGGGCAUGCCUGUUCGAGCGUCAUUUCAACCCUCAAGCACAGCUUGGUGUUGGGACUCGCGUUAAUUCGCGUUCCCCAAAUUGAUUGGCGGUCACGUCGAGCUUCCAUAGCGUAGUAGUAAAACCCUCGUUACUGGUAAUCGUCGCGGCCACGCCGUUAAACCCCAACUUCUGAAUGUUGACCUCGGAUCAGGUAGGAAUACCCGCUGAACUUAAGCAUAUCAA